GACGAACGCUGGCGGCGUGCUUAACACAUGCAAGUCGAACGGAAAGGCCCUGCUUUUGUGGGGUGCUCGAGUGGCGAACGGGUGAGUAACACGUGAGUAACCUGCCCUUGACUUUGGGAUAACUUCAGGAAACUGGGGCUAAUACCAGAUAGGAGCUCCUGCUGCAUGGUGGGGGUUGGAAAUUUUCGGCGGUUGGGGAUGGACUCGCGGCUUAUCAGCUUGUUGGUGGGGUAGUUGCUUACCAAGGCUUUGACGGGUAGCCGGCCUGAGAGGGUGACCGGCCACAUUGGGACUGAGAUACGGACCAGACUCCUACGGGAGGCAGCAGUGGGGAAUAUUGCACAAUGGGCGGAAGCCUGAUGCAGCAACGCCGCGUGCGGGAUGACGGCCUUCGGGUUGUAAACCGCUUUCGCCUGUGACGAAGCGUGAGUGACGGUAAUGGGUAAAGAAGCACCGGCUAACUACGUG
RNAcentral lists this ribosomal RNA (468 nucleotides) under uncultured bacterium. Its description in RNAcentral is "partial 16S ribosomal RNA". It matches the Rfam family "Bacterial small subunit ribosomal RNA", at positions 28 to 507 of the family's 1533-position model. The record is from RNAcentral.